This is a long non-coding RNA of Salvelinus fontinalis (brook trout), 114 nucleotides long. RefSeq lists it as uncharacterized. The transcript has 3 exons. The record is from RefSeq and is a predicted model, not a curated record. NCBI's taxonomy places the organism in Eukaryota, Metazoa, Chordata, Actinopteri, Salmoniformes, Salmonidae.
UGGUCUGUCAAGGUGAUGUAGUGGUCUGUCUGGUCUGUAAAGGUGAUGUAGUGGUCUGUAAAGGUGAUGUGAUGGUUGGUCUGUAUAGGUGAUGGUUGGUCUGUAUAGGUGAUG